CUGGCGGCUGCCUAACACAUGCAAGUCGAACGAGACCUUCGGGUCUAGUGGCGCACGGGUGCGUAACGCGUGGGAAUCUGCCCUUUGCUUCGGAAUAACAGUUAGAAAUGACUGCUAAUACCGGAUGAUGUCGAAAGACCAAAGAUUUAUCGGCAAAGGAUGAGCCCGCGUAGGAUUAGGUAGUUGGUGAGGUAAAGGCUCACCAAGCCGACGAUCCUUAGCUGGUCUGAGAGGAUGAUCAGCCACACUGGGACUGAGACACGGCCCAGACUCCUACGGGAGGCAGCAGUGGGGAAUAUUGGACAAUGGGCGAAAGCCUGAUCCAGCAAUGCCGCGUGAGUGAUGAAGGCCUUAGGGUUGUAAAGCUCUUUUACCAGGGAUGAUAAUGACAGUACCUGGAGAAUAAGCUCCGGCUAACUCCGUGCCAGCAGCCGCGGUAAUACGGAGGGAGCUAGCGUUGUUCGGAAUUACUGGGCGUAAAGCGCACGUAGGCGGCUACUCAAGUCAGAGGUGAAAGCCCAGGGCUCAACCCUGGAACUGCCUUUGAAACUAGGUAGCUAGAAUCUUGGAGAGGUCAGUGGAAUUCCGAGUGUAGAGGUGAAAUUCGUAG
Molecule: ribosomal RNA, 610 nt
Filed under: alpha proteobacterium TH-S62
Lineage: Bacteria; Pseudomonadati; Pseudomonadota; Alphaproteobacteria
Description: bacterial SSU rRNA
Rfam family: Bacterial small subunit ribosomal RNA
Source: RNAcentral